AAGAACUAGUAUCGAAUCCAGUUGAAAAUAAACGCAAAAUUGUGAAGUGUGCUGUAGCAUAUAAAACUACAGGAUGUGGAAAGAAACAAAUCAACUUUAUAAACUUCGGUUGCGAUAAGUUCAGAUAUCAAAAUAGCAUCAGCCUGGCUCCUGCCAACUUUAGAUUUACGGUUCCGAAUCAACGAAGAUGGAAAAAGAAGAAAAAAUCGAGACAAAUUUCUCCUGAACUCCGAACAAUUUGAGGUAUGAUUUACCGACUCCCACACCCCUUUUCGAGGUACUUCUGCAUCAAAAGCUCAUCACAUUCCACAUGAAUCUUCCUAUUCCCUGCUCCCUCAUCACAUAUGGUGCUGCUCUGAAAGACAAAGUUUAUGAUGAUGACAGCAAUCAACAUCAACACAACAAUGGCGAUAUUGCGACAACGAUGAACGAUGAUGGUGAUGGUGAUCUGCACCCCGGUAGCGGGUCGCCUGAAACGUGAGGCCUGGUCUCGCAUUUGUCUCUCAUCAUCAACGAACGAGUGACAACAACAACAUGGGAAGCAAAAGUAACAGCAGCAGGAUCCAGGUUUCUACGGCUGGACAAUGUCUGAAGCUCACCGAAAAUCUAUCGAUUAAAAGCCGAAAAAAACGUUUCCACGGAAGUGGAAAUAGACUGAAAUUAGCGAUACAUGUAAGUAUUAAUUGAAUUUGGCA
Molecule: long non-coding RNA, 695 nt
Organism: Uranotaenia lowii
Lineage: Eukaryota; Metazoa; Arthropoda; Insecta; Diptera; Culicidae
Exons: 3
Source: RefSeq, a predicted model, not a curated record